Molecule: long non-coding RNA, 575 nt
Filed under: Mus spicilegus (steppe mouse)
Lineage: Eukaryota; Metazoa; Chordata; Mammalia; Rodentia; Muridae
Description: lncRNA (ENSMSIG00000028983.1)
Source: RNAcentral
AAAAGAAAAAAAAAACUUUAAUAUCAUCCUUUCUAUAGGAUGUCUUGUUAUCUUGGGAAAUGAAAGAAGACAAUUUCUUGCCUUCGGGCCAUGAAAACUUUCUUGGCUUGAAGCACUUUUGCAAAAACGUGAAGUUGAACUCUAUAAGAUGAAGAUUCUUGGGCUAAGAGGAUAGUUAUAUAAAUUAAUCUUUCCUGACCAUGGAAGUAAUGGAUAAUCAUCCUUAUCAAUUAGGUUCCAGGAAGGAGUCCCGAGCCCAUCUUGGCUAUUAUAGAGCAACAUGGCAACGAAUAUUGCACCAAAGGAGUUCACCUGUCCAAAUGGCUUUGUCUCCUAUCAGCUCAUUUGACUUUCUGCCCUUUUGGCUUGAAGAAAAUGCAAUUAGAAUCCCUUCUCUGGCCAAACAACAAAAUGAACAAAGUCCAGCCUUUGACCCUACCAACUCCAGGAGGAGUAUAGAGACUAUUGGUUUAAAUGAGCUGACCAGGGCCCGGAGCAAAGAUGUGUCCCUCUGCUGGAGAGUCAACCUGUUCAUUUCUGACUUACCCACCAUCCAGGCUGAGCAGGCAAAGUAA